RNAcentral lists this ribosomal RNA (253 nucleotides) under uncultured bacterium. Its description in RNAcentral is "partial 16S ribosomal RNA". It matches the Rfam family "Bacterial small subunit ribosomal RNA", at positions 524 to 776 of the family's 1533-position model. The record is from RNAcentral.
UACGUAGGGGGCAAGCGUUGUCCGGAAUCAUUGGGCGUAAAGCGCGUGUAGGCGGCUCGAUAAGUCUGCUGUAAAAGUCCAGGGCUCAACCCUGGAAAGCCGGUGGAAACUGUCGAGCUAGAGUCCGGAAGAGGAGAGUGGAAUUCCUGGUGUAGCGGUGAAAUGCGCAGAUAUCAGGAAGAACACCCGUGGCUAAGGCGGCUCUCUAGUACGGUACUGACGCUGAGACGCGAAAGCGUGGGGAGCGAACAGG